GAUGAACGCUGGCGGCGUGCUUAACACAUGCAAGUCGAACGGUGAAGGCGGAGCUUGCUCUGCUGGAUCAGUGGCGAACGGGUGAGUAACACGUGAGCAAUCUGCCCCUGACUCUGGGAUAAGCGCUGGAAACGGCGUCUAAUACUGGAUACGAGCUGCGAAGGCAUCUUCAGCAGCUGGAAAGAACUUCGGUCAGGGAUGAGCUCGCGGCCUAUCAGCUUGUUGGUGAGGUAACGGCUCACCAAGGCGUCGACGGGUAGCCGGCCUGAGAGGGUGACCGGCCACACUGGGACUGAGACACGGCCCAGACUCCUACGGGAGGCAGCAGUGGGGAAUAGUGCACAAUGGGCGAAAGCCUGAUGCAGCAACGCCGCGUGAGGGACGACGGCCUUCGGGUUGUAAACCUCUUUUAGCAGGGAAGAAGCGAAAGUGACGGUACCUGCAGAAAAAGCGCCGGCUAACUACGUG
RNAcentral lists this ribosomal RNA (468 nucleotides) under uncultured bacterium. Its description in RNAcentral is "partial 16S ribosomal RNA". It matches the Rfam family "Bacterial small subunit ribosomal RNA", at positions 28 to 507 of the family's 1533-position model. The record is from RNAcentral.